UAGUUCUUAUAGUUGA
This 16-nucleotide transfer RNA is filed under the name Esox lucius (northern pike). RNAcentral's name for it is "partial tRNA-Glu". The record is from RNAcentral. Lineage: Eukaryota; Metazoa; Chordata; Actinopteri; Esociformes; Esocidae.